Molecule: ribosomal RNA, 341 nt
Filed under: uncultured cyanobacterium
Lineage: Bacteria; Bacillati; Cyanobacteriota
Description: bacterial SSU rRNA
Rfam family: Bacterial small subunit ribosomal RNA
Source: RNAcentral
GAUGAACGCUGGCGGUCUGCUUAACACAUGCAAGUCGAACGGACCCUUCGGGGUUAGUGGCGGACGGGUGAGUAACGCGUGAGAAUCUGCCUUCAGGUCUGGGACAACAGAAGGAAACUUCUGCUAAUCCGGGAUGAGCCUUUUGGUAAAAGAGAAAUUGCCUGGAGAUGAGCUCGCGUCUGAUUAGCUAGUUGGUGAGGUAAAAGCUUACCAAGGCGACGAUCAGUAGCUGGUCUGAGAGGAUGAGCAGCCACACUGGGACUGAGACACGGCCCAGACUCCUACGGGAGGCAGCAGUGGGGAAUCUUGGACAAUGGGGGCAACCCUGAUCCAGCCAUGCC